AGCGAACGCUGGCGGCAGGCCUAACACAUGCAAGUCGAACGAACCUUUCGGGGUUAGUGGCGGACGGGUGAGUAACACGUGGGAACGUGCCUUUAGGUUCGGAAUAACUCAGGGAAACUUGUGCUAAUACCGCAUGUGCCCUUCGGGGGAAAGAUUAAUCGCCUUUAGAGCGGCCCGCGUCUGAUUAGCUAGUUGGUUGAGGUAAUGGCUCACCAAGGCGACGAUCAGUAGCUGGUCUGAGAGGAUGAUCAGCCACAUUGGGACUGAGACACGGCCCAAACUCCUACGGGAGGCAGCAGUGGGGAAUCUUGCGCAAUGGGCGAAAGCCUGACGCAGCCAUGCCGCGUGAAUGGUGAAGGUCUUAGGAUUGUAAAAUUCUUUCACCGGGGACGAUAAUGACGGUACCCGGAGAAGAAGCCCCGGCUAACUUCGUG
Molecule: ribosomal RNA, 434 nt
Filed under: uncultured bacterium
Lineage: Bacteria
Description: partial 16S ribosomal RNA
Rfam family: Bacterial small subunit ribosomal RNA
Source: RNAcentral